GGGCUGGUGGUGUAGCCUGGUUAGCACAUCGCCCUUACACGGCGAAGAUCCCAGGUUCAAAUCCUGGCCAGCCCA
RNAcentral lists this transfer RNA (75 nucleotides) under Nitrososphaerota archaeon. RNAcentral's name for it is "tRNA-Val". It matches the Rfam family "tRNA". From Rfam's summary of the family: Transfer RNA (tRNA) molecules are approximately 80 nucleotides in length. Their secondary structure includes four short double-helical elements and three loops (D, anti-codon, and T loops). Lineage: Archaea; Thermoproteati; Nitrososphaerota. RNAcentral also lists the same sequence under 1 other name. The record is from RNAcentral.